AAAAAUGAAAUCAGAUAUUGAUAUUUCAAUUACAAUGAAAAUUUUGUUUUAAUACCCUUUUUU
This 63-nucleotide transfer RNA is filed under the name Amblyomma testudinarium. RNAcentral's name for it is "tRNA-Val". The record is from RNAcentral. Lineage: Eukaryota; Metazoa; Arthropoda; Arachnida; Ixodida; Ixodidae.